GGGGCUGUAGUGUAGCCUGGUAUCACUCAUGCUUGGGGUGCAUGCAACCCGUGUUCGAAUCACGGCAGCCCCA
RNAcentral lists this transfer RNA (73 nucleotides) under Candidatus Woesearchaeota archaeon CG07_land_8_20_14_0_80_44_23. Its description in RNAcentral is "tRNA-Pro". It matches the Rfam family "tRNA". Rfam says of the family: Transfer RNA (tRNA) molecules are approximately 80 nucleotides in length. Their secondary structure includes four short double-helical elements and three loops (D, anti-codon, and T loops). The record is from RNAcentral. RNAcentral also lists the same sequence under 2 other names. Lineage: Archaea; Nanobdellati; Candidatus Woesearchaeota.